GUUGUGGCUCAAGUGGUAGUGCGCUCGCCUGGUAUGCGUGAGGCACUGGGUUCGAUCCUAGCAUCACA
RNAcentral lists this transfer RNA (68 nucleotides) under Marmota monax (woodchuck). RNAcentral's name for it is "tRNA.Thr". The record is from RNAcentral. Lineage: Eukaryota; Metazoa; Chordata; Mammalia; Rodentia; Sciuridae.